CCUACGGGAGGCAGCAGUGGGGAAUAUUGCACAAUGGGCGCAAGCCUGAUGCAGCCAUGCCGCGUGUGUGAAGAAGGCCUUCGGGUUGUAAAGCACUUUCAGCGAGGAGGAAGGCAGUCGUGUUAAUAGCACGGUUGAUUGACGUUACUCGCAGAAGAAGCACCGGCUAACUCCGUGCCAGCAGCCGCGGUAAU
Molecule: ribosomal RNA, 194 nt
Filed under: uncultured bacterium
Lineage: Bacteria
Description: partial 16S ribosomal RNA
Rfam family: Bacterial small subunit ribosomal RNA
Source: RNAcentral